Molecule: non-coding RNA, 28 nt
Filed under: Rattus norvegicus (Norway rat)
Lineage: Eukaryota; Metazoa; Chordata; Mammalia; Rodentia; Muridae
Source: RNAcentral
UAAGGAAAUCAUUGCUCUUGACUUCAGC